GAUGAAGAACGCAGCGAAAUGCGAUACUUGGUGUGAAUUGCAGAAUCCCGUGAACCAUCGAGUCUUUGAACGCGAGUUGCGCCCGAAGCCAUUAGGCCGAGGGCACGCCUGCCUGGGUGUCACACACCGUUACCCUCGCGCCAACGUCCAUCGUUGGCCGCGGCGCGGGGCGUGCGCUGACCUCCCGCGAGCGGGGUCUCGUGGUUGGUUGAAAAUCGAGUUCGCGGUCGAGGGUGCCGUGAUGAAAUGGUGGAUGGGCGACGCCCGAGGCCAAUCACGCGCGACUCCGUCCGGCUCGGACUCCUGGACCCCUUCGGCGUCUCCGGACGCUCUUUGGCGAGACCUCAGGUCAGGCGGGGCUACCCGCUGAGUUUAAGCAUAUCAAUAAGCGGAGGA
RNAcentral lists this unclassified non-coding RNA (396 nucleotides) under soil metagenome. RNAcentral's name for it is "partial contains 5.8S ribosomal RNA, internal transcribed spacer 2, and large subunit ribosomal RNA". The stretch from base 1 to 122 matches the Rfam family "5.8S ribosomal RNA", at positions 35 to 154 of the family's 154-position model. The record is from RNAcentral.